This 501-nucleotide long non-coding RNA is filed under the name Bos taurus (domestic cattle). RNAcentral describes it as "long non-coding RNA NONBTAT022922". Lineage: Eukaryota; Metazoa; Chordata; Mammalia; Artiodactyla; Bovidae. The record is from RNAcentral.
GGAGGGUGAUGUACUAUUUUAUUGUUUAUAAAGAGUUAUUCUAUGACUUGAUCAUGAAAAACUUACUCUCCACCUUUCCUCAAUAGUUUGACAGGAUCAUCAAGAAAUGAAACCAUUUACACUUCAUUUCUGUGGUCACAGUGUCACUCCUAUCACGAUCAUAGCAGAGCCAGAGAAUGUAGGGAAACAUUAGAAAUCCUGCGCAGAUGGAAUAAAUACCAUUUUAGGAAUCAUUUAGUUCUUGUGAAAAAAUUCUUUCAUAUUCUUCCUUAUGGUCUACAAUUUACAGUACCCCAUGGGGCAGAGGAUCCAGACUGCAUGACGUUUCAAUGAAUAAAAAUGCAGCGAAAAACUGGAUAGUGUUUUCUAGUUCUAUCACCUAACAUCAGUGCCCAGGUGGUCUGCAGAACUCAAACUUUUAACAAAGCCCAGCUGGCCAUACUGUCCCAAGGUCCUCCAAGUUUCUAGAAGAAAUCACAUGCAGUUGCCUGAAUGUAAGUA